RNAcentral lists this transfer RNA (86 nucleotides) under Pseudoalteromonas ruthenica. RNAcentral's name for it is "tRNA-Leu". It matches the Rfam family "tRNA". From Rfam's summary of the family: Transfer RNA (tRNA) molecules are approximately 80 nucleotides in length. Their secondary structure includes four short double-helical elements and three loops (D, anti-codon, and T loops). Lineage: Bacteria; Pseudomonadati; Pseudomonadota; Gammaproteobacteria; Alteromonadales; Pseudoalteromonadaceae. The record is from RNAcentral. RNAcentral also lists the same sequence under 11 other names.
GCCGUGGUGGUGGAAUUGGUAGACACGCCAUCUUGAGGGGGUGGUGAGCUAUGCUCGUGCGGGUUCAAGUCCCGCCCACGGCACCA